GCCGCAGCGCCUGGGCAGCCCCAGUGGGACGUGGGGAGCGCGGCGGGGGCGUGCCCUGGCUGGGGACACGCCCCGCCUCUCACCCGCCUGCCUGGCCCCCGCCGCCCAUGCGUGCCCCGCGCACCGCCCGCGCCAGGCGCUGUCCUGCCCUGGGUCUGCGAGCCAGCGCCUGCCAGCCUCCAGCACUGCUCUGGACACAACCUCCAGGAGAUGCUGAGGCACCCAGGGGAGAAAUUAUAGGGCGUUCAUUAAAAUCAGCAUUCAAUGUUGAAUCUGAUUUGUACAGUAGCCCAGUGGCUUUUGACACUGUCACGUGUGUUUGCCUUCCUGACGCUCUAUAAUCCACAAUGGACAUACGCGAGUCCACGGGCACAUGUGUGUUGUCGCGGGCACGCUGGCAGUCUGGAAACCCCAGAAUAGAUUGACACGGAGCCGGCGGCCCUAGCCCUGGACUCAGGGCCGCGGCACCUGCUGAAUUUCAUAACCUGUUUUUCCCCUGAGAACUGCUGCGUGCCGGGUCACUCCAUGGGGCCGUCCUGCCCGGCUGCCCAUCGCUGGAGAGGGCAUGACCAGGUCUUCUUCCACUGCUCCUCCCUCACUUGCAGCCUCCAGCAGUUCAUGACAUCCCCAUUCACGAUUACCUUUCUUUUCUGGCGGUAAAGCCAGGAAUGCAGGGAUGUUCCCUCCAAACACGCUCAGAGGUUACGCCUCAACUUUCAGCCAUUUAAAUUUCUUUACAGGGCCAUGACCGCCGUACCGAAGACCGAUUCCAAGAUGCUCCGACAGAACCGACUUCUACGGCUGAUCUGCAUCCGUGACGAGCGGCGUUUCCUUCCGCGAGCACUCGCUAUUUCUGUUGCCAGAUGCUUCCACUUGAUCAUCACCUUACAGAGUUGUUUUGAUGUACAAUUUGCAAACCCACAGAAACACUAAGUUCAGUGCAACUCAUUGAGAACGUGGCUUGUUGGGGGGGUAUGUUAAUAUUGGCGUGUACGGCCUCCAGCGAUGAAACAAUUAAGCUGCCCUUCAAGUAGGGCAGUAGGGGAUCACAUGUAGCUUCUGUAUUCAGGGUUGCAAAUCCCUGGAGUGUUAUCUGGAAAGGUCCCUGCCAUGAUCCCUAGGAUGAAACCAAAGAGGAAAUAUCUACCUCCAGUUUGCAGUGAAUUCCUAUGUGAAGAAGAGUUUGAGGCAACAUCCUUUGACACAAGGGAUAACCCCCACCCCUAUUUCCAUCAACCCCACUGAGAUGCCAAAACUGGGUUAAAACUUCUUGCAGACAUUCAGCACUUUGCACAUUGGACCCUCUUGGUCCAUUGCAGAUGGCAAAGCAGCGGAGACAUGCUAUGCUACUUUGACUGGGCUCGACUUAAGAGCACUUGAAGCAUUUGGGGAAUCUGACAUUUCUCAGAGUACACUUCCAGACAUCUACAGAGCUUGUUAAGAGUUUACCGAGUCAACUGGUUUAUUUAGUGAUUGUAAAUGUAAAGCAGAAGUUCUUAGUUGCACCACUUUAUGAGGAAUGGGAGGGAAGGAGAUAACAUACCUCCUCAUUCAUCUGACUGCAAUAAUAGGUAUUGCCUAUGCAUUUAUAAGUGUACUACUAUUAACACGAUCUCUCUUUCAGCAAUACUGUAUCUCUCCCCAAUUUGAAGCGGGCAGCGGCUGCUACGAGGCUGGUCACAUCUGUUGCUUCUGCCAAUAGACCCUUUGUCAGCAAGCAGCAAAUCCUCCACAGAAAGAGACUAGUCAGAAACAUAGAUGGAGCACAUCUGGAGUGCAACAAAAUUACCCCAUUCACCUAUGAGUCAGAGGUAUUUUCAACACCGUGAAGAAUGAACCCUAGUGAAAGGGGUUUGAGUGAAGCACUGGUCUUACCAUGCAUAGUUAAGUCCAACUCAGGCUUCCUGCAGAAUAAAAGAAUCUCAGCUAUCUUGGAGAAUGAGACGCUAUGCUAUGAUUCUUUCACUCUCUCAAUUCAUGUGUAGACGAUUCAGCAUCAGCUGCAUCUAGUGGGUUUUUUCUGAUCAAAAUUCCUCACCCAGAACAAGCUGGACUCAUGAAAAAUGUUUACCCCCCCUAAAUCUGCAGAAAAAAAAUUAUUAAUCCUCACUUUUGGGGGGGGGGGGGGAGCGGGGGGUGAUCAGCAAUUUACCCAACUUCAUGGUCAACAAAUCUAGAUUUAGCAUCAAGGUAAAGUACUUUCUGCACACACAUAACAAAUAUUAAAGGCCAUCAUUUAUUAGAAUCACCAACACAGCUGAUCCUAAUUCAGGAAUGUAUUUCAGCAGUGAAACAAGGUCACACUGUCAAAACGCUGAUGGUAAAAAUGCUUUGGAGUCUUCAGGUAUCUUAAUGAGGCUUUGAUUUAAUGUGAUGAGAAACAAACAAAGAAAAAACCCACCUCUUCAAAAUGACAGUCUUUGGUGGAAGCUUAGUUCAUGUUACUGAUUACCACUUUGGAGUGACUGAGUCUAGAGUUUCACAGUUACAUAGAGCUCUGUGUUACCUGCUUGAUUAAUGUAACUGAGGCCAUGCCUCAGGCAGUGUUUUUCAGGCUUGAUUACAUGGGCUUUUUCACAAGCUUAGUGUCUUCCAUGUGGCUCCAUGCAUACUGUAGGUUGCAGAUUGAGUGUGCACUGGCUUCAAGAGAAUAAGACUGUAAACUUAACACUAUUAUCACAUAUGCAAUAGUACUGAGCUGGCAGAAGGGGAGAUCAGACAAAGUUACAAAUCUUGGGAAUACUCCGCUGAACUGCAGAAGGUGCGGGUUAAUACUGCAGCCGCUCAUGCCUUCUGGUACUGAUGAUGUUCACUGCGAAGAUGCAAUGGCCACGAGGCCCACAGAGGCCAGCAGAUUGCCUUGCUUCAAUUCUUGAGUAAAGAUACUGUGAUUGUAAGCAUUUCUGAGGCACGGGCUUUAACGCAACUCCAAUUCAAGUCAGCGGUGAGCUGGCAAGCACAGCCACCGCUUCCAGUUCACAAAAGACACAAGCUUAAGAUUGUCAGAGGAUUGAUUGGCAACUGUCUACUGAACAGCAGGAAACCCUUACCAGAGAUCUUUCUGGCUGUGAAUACCUUCAGGAGGGAUUGAAUCAGGAAAAACCUUAAUGAUUUGUGGCUCCAAACACAUACAAGCAGGCCCUCAGCAAGCAGAGAGAAGGUAGUCAUGCCACAGACCCUUUUCCUUGUAGUCUUGCUGCUGCUGCAGGGAGGUUCAGGGAGCCCUUGAGUUGCAGAGCCUGCUUGGACUCCAAUGGCUCCAUGCGUUGCUUAUUGCUUACAGCCAGCCUGGGGAGUUCACCACACCUGUAUUUUGUUCAGCUGGUCACCUAUGAUGGUGUAGAAGGGCCACUGACUUGAACAGUACUCAAUACAGGUAACAACAGUCUAGUGCCAUGGAUCAGAUCACCAGUAAGGAGGGGGAGCAACACUUAGGCCCAAUGAAAGUGGACUUCAGUUGUUUUUGCAAAUGGGCUUGGAGCCUGCCAACAGAAAUUUAGUUUGGUAUUUUUCAAGCUGACAUUAAGAAAAAAUGACUUAAAUUGUUGCAUCUGGAUGAUGAAGGCUUUGUCUAGUU
Molecule: long non-coding RNA, 3577 nt
Organism: Alligator mississippiensis (American alligator)
Lineage: Eukaryota; Metazoa; Chordata; Crocodylia; Alligatoridae
Exons: 2
Source: RefSeq, a predicted model, not a curated record